GAUGAAGAACGUAGCGAAAUGCGAUAAGUAAUGUGAAUUGCAGAAUUCAGUGAAUCAUCGAAUCUUUGAACGCACAUUGCGCCCGUCAGUAUUCUGGCGGGCAUGCCUGUUCGAGCGUCAUUACGCCCCUCAAGUCCCCUGUGGACUUGGUGUUGGGGAUCGGCGAGGCUGGUUUUCCAGCACAGCCGUCCCUUAAAUUAAUUGGCGGUCUCGCCGUGGCCCUCCUCUGCGCAGUAGUAAAACACUCGCAACAGNANNNNNNCGCGGUCCACUGCCGUAAAACCCCCCAACUUUUUAUAGUUGACCUCGAAUCAGGUAGGACUACCCGCUGAACUUAAGCAUAUCAAUAAGCGGAGGA
RNAcentral lists this unclassified non-coding RNA (358 nucleotides) under soil metagenome. RNAcentral describes it as "partial contains 5.8S ribosomal RNA, internal transcribed spacer 2, and large subunit ribosomal RNA". The stretch from base 1 to 120 matches the Rfam family "5.8S ribosomal RNA", at positions 35 to 154 of the family's 154-position model. The record is from RNAcentral.